Molecule: ribosomal RNA, 433 nt
Filed under: uncultured bacterium
Lineage: Bacteria
Description: partial 16S ribosomal RNA
Rfam family: Bacterial small subunit ribosomal RNA
Source: RNAcentral
AACGAACGCUGGCGGCAUGCCUAACACAUGCAAGUCGAACGAGACCUUCGGGUCUAGUGGCGCACGGGUGCGUAACGCGUGGGAACCUUCCCUUAGGUUCGGAAUAACUCCCCGAAAGGGGUGCUAAUACCGGAUAAUGUCUUCGGACCAAAGAUUUAUCGCCUUUGGAUGGGCCCGCGUUGGAUUAGCUGGUUGGUAGGGUAAAAGCCUACCAAGGCGACGAUCCAUAGCUGGUCUGGGAGGAUGAUCAGCCACACUCGGACUGAGACACGGCCCAGACUCCUACGGGAGGGAGCAGUGGGGAAUAUUGGACGAUGGGCGAGAGCCUGAUCCAGCAAUGCCGCGUGAGUGAUGAAGGCCUUAGGGUUGUAAAGCUCUUUUACCCGGGAUGAUAAUGACGGUACCGGGAGAAUAAGCUCCGGCUAACUACGUG